This is a long non-coding RNA of Papaver somniferum (opium poppy), 1119 nucleotides long. RefSeq lists it as uncharacterized. The transcript is spliced from 3 exons. The record is from RefSeq and is a predicted model, not a curated record. Lineage: Eukaryota; Viridiplantae; Streptophyta; Magnoliopsida; Ranunculales; Papaveraceae.
CAAAAAAUUUCUUUUCCCUGUAAAAAUAAUAAAGCCCUAAAUGAUGUUAAGAGUUCUUCUCCUCAGUCCCAUACAAAAGGAUCUUAUCUUCUAAUCUACGAUUGGUUAAUGAUGGGAUCAUGUCUGUAUACUUAUUUGAAGGUUAUGGAGGUGGAGCCGCUGGAUUAAAGCUUUCAAGGGAAGGCGAGAUUUUGUUCUUUGCACGUUGCUUCUUUGCCGUUUUUUCCCUUCCUUUUUCUUGCGGCUUAGGGUUUUGUCGUUGCAUGUUCCUUGAGAGCGUAACAGUUGAUGCUGAUAACUACUGCGAUUCUGGAGCUUUAUGGCAACGAAAAAUACUUAUAAGAGGUGUAGUGAAAUAAUCUUUUUCCGUUUUCUUUAGAUAUUUCAUUGAUUUUAUUUAUUGCAGAUGUCUUUCUUUUGUGAAGCAUUUAGUUACGGGUGUUGGUGAUACAUUUUAUCGUCUUCAUGGGUGACCCGAUAAAAUUAAUUUUUCUUUUUUUAUUUUCAAUUUAGGGUUUUUUUUUGGGUUUGAUUUUAAUCCUAUUGCUUCUCUUUUUCUUGUGCGAAAAGAGGAUUUGAAGAUUGAAGACACUCGAUACAUGGAUGAGGAAAUAAAUUUUUCUUCAUUUUCUUUUCAUAUGGAUUUUUUUGUUUUGUUUAUAUAUUUCUUUGUUAUGAUUUUAAUCCUCUGACUAUCCUACUUCAUUUUUAUUGUUGACUUGCUGGUUUAAUUAAUCAGCAAAAAAAAUUCGCAAGGCGGAAACUUGAUGGUGAAGUUUAACGAAAGAAUUUGGAAACACGUCCAUCCAGAGCGCAGAAUUCGGUUAUAAUGAAAAAAGUGACAGUCUAUCUUCCAAAGUCAAUUUUCUCUCAUGGGAAAUUACGUUGCAGUAUCAACGACAACGAGCCAAGAAAGAACGGAUUCUGAUAUACUGCUUGAGAAACGAAGAAUGAUGUACCCGAAAAUUUUAUUUAGAAUGUUAUCUACGAAGAACCAAACUUGUGUUAAAGUUAGAAAUCUUUUCUAUUAUGAGAUCAGAUUUUUUGUUGUCGGAAGUAUUGUUUUAGGUUUGCAAUCUUGAGUGCUUAUUUCUUGGAGAAUUUAUUUUGGCAACUAUU